Long non-coding RNA from Rhincodon typus (whale shark), 572 nucleotides. RefSeq lists it as uncharacterized. NCBI's taxonomy places the organism in Eukaryota, Metazoa, Chordata, Chondrichthyes, Orectolobiformes, Rhincodontidae. The transcript is spliced from 2 exons. The record is from RefSeq and is a predicted model, not a curated record.
ACCAGUUUUCAGUUUGCACUCAAGAUUGUGCUCAAUAUGUUAAUACAGCAGAAAUUCAAACUGUUAUUGUCGUUGGAGAAAGGGACUGAUUAGAUGGCUCGCUCCCUCCCUCUCUGUUUCUUCAGAGAGCCAGCAGGGAAGAAAACCUAUUCUUGCCAGGAAGACCUGCUGGGGAUAUGAUCAGCCAGUGGGUGUAGAAGCAAAAGGUUUCCUGUAUAGACUGCAGCAGACAACUAAAGUGGAAGGAACAACCUGUCUUGACCUGGCUGCAAUAAUUUCCUUGCUGGACACUUUGUUCCAUUUCAUAAUCUUAAAAUCUAACUCGGUUUGAUUUCCUGCUAAGAGGUGGUCUUGUCUAUUUAUACUGCAGCCACAGUGUUUUUCUUUGGCAGAAUCUCUCGUGUGUGACUGACUCAUUUCCCUGGCUCUCCACACUUUAGCCCACAUAUCGCAGAAUAGAUAAUCAUCCUCAGUAAAUGAGCACUUGCUGGGAUAUGUGCUGGACUGAUUCAUCUGUUUAUCCUGAAUGCACUAUUUUUGAAUUUAAAAGAAGUAAAUGAUUUUAAAGUCUG